Molecule: ribosomal RNA, 253 nt
Filed under: uncultured bacterium
Lineage: Bacteria
Description: partial 16S ribosomal RNA
Rfam family: Bacterial small subunit ribosomal RNA
Source: RNAcentral
UACGAAGGGGGCUAGCGUUGCUCGGAAUCACUGGGCGUAAAGGGUGCGUAGGCGGUUCUUUAAGUCCGGGGUGAAAUCCUGGAGCUCAACUCCAGAACUGCCUUUGAUACUGAAGAUCUUGAGUGCGGGAGAGGUGAGUGGAACUGCGAGUGUAGAGGUGAAAUUCGUAGAUAUUCGCAAGAACACCAGUGGCGAAGGCGGCUCACUGGCCCGAUACUGACGCUGAGGCACGAAAGCGUGGGGAGCAAACAGG